Long non-coding RNA from Mytilus californianus (California mussel), 541 nucleotides. RefSeq lists it as uncharacterized. The transcript is spliced from 4 exons. The record is from RefSeq and is a predicted model, not a curated record. NCBI's taxonomy places the organism in Eukaryota, Metazoa, Mollusca, Bivalvia, Mytilida, Mytilidae.
GCUUCGUCUCUCAGAGAAUUAUCCCGUACGGUUCACAGAAACGAGCGUCUCAGACGACACAUUUGGACGACACCAAUUUUGACACCACAGUAGUGGCAAUGGAAAGUAAUGCAGAUACUCUUGAAGAUAUAACAGAUAAUAAGCAGGGCAUGAACGAAGUAUGGAGGAUCUGUUUGAAAAUUCCAGACAUGAGAAAGAAAAUGACAGGGGGAAAUGUCCAGUUCAACGUUACCAGGACAAUUCAGCAAAGUUCCAACAGAUAUAAAAAAUCUGAAUUUGAGGCAAAUAUAUACUGUCAUGUAUAUAUAUAAGAUGGAUAAAGGACAUGAUACUUUAGCAGUGCUUCAGAGAAUCACAUUUGGCUACAGAAGUUUGUAGUAUUUUGGUUGUAAUCAAGUUAUUAAGCUGAAGAUGAAGAAACUUUCAAAAGAGUGGAGCAUUUAGAAGAUGGAACAAUCAAAUAUUAUUUGUUACUAUUUCAGUAACUUUUCAAAUGUUAACUGUUUAGAAUAUUCUUAAAUAUAAAUAUAAUUGAAUUUAA